UAGUGCAGCGGCGGAGCGGCCCGGGCCGGCCGAGCAGCCAUGGGGGCCCUGGUGCCGGGCCCCCCAAGAGCCAAGGCCCCCGGCCGGGGUUGGGGGUGCCGGGGCUACCAGCCCCGCUGACACCGCCUCGGACGAUGUGAGCCGGCGCCUCCGCUGCUGCUUCGCGGGCAGGGCUCGCAGUCCCACCGGCCCCGGCCGCCGCUUUUCUAAUUUGGGUGGGGGCGACCGUUCCAGGCCGCUCGGUCUUUGGUAGAGGGGCUGGCUGUCUUUGGCAGCUUGACUGGGGGAGGCGACCCACACAGGGCUCUCGGAGAUAUUUUUUCCCUUUUUUUUUUUUUCUUUUUUAAAUCGAGGUUAACUGUUUUGGGCAGCUUGGUUUUGGGGGGAGGCUAAAAAAGGCCUUUCGGGGUUCCUUUUCUCUGGGGGAGGGGGCGGUGGUCCCGACUUGGCCAGCCGCCUGUUGGAAGGGGGGAGCGGGAAGUGUGGGGAUGAGAACCCGGCUCCCCCCACUAUGAUGAAGACGGAGCCGCGGGGGCCCGGGGGUCCCCUCCGGAGCGCUUCCCCGCACCGCAGCGCCUACGAGGCGGGCAUCCAGGCUCUGAAGCCGCCCGACGCGCCCGGGCCAGACGAGGCACCCAAGGCGGCCCACCACAAGAAAUAUGGCUCCAACGUCCACCGCAUCAAAAGUAUGUUCCUGCAGAUGGGCACGACGGCGGGCGAGGCGGGCGGCGGCGCGGGCCCCACUGAGGCCUUGCGGGCGCCCGAGCGCGGCGUGCGCCUGUCGCUGCCGCGGGCCAGCAGCCUAAACGAGAACGUGGACCAUAGUGCCCUGCUGAAGCUGGGCACCAGCGUGUCGGAGCGCGUGAGCCGCUUCGACUCCAAGCCCGCGCCCUCCGCUCAGCCUGCGCCGCCGCCGCACCCGCCGUCCCGGCUGCAGGAGACGCGGAAGCUGUUCGAACGGAGCGCCCCGGCGGCCGCGGGCGGCGACAAGGAGGCCGCGGCGCGGCGGCUGCUGAGGCAGGAGCGCGCCGGCCUGCAGGACCGGAAGCUGGACGUCGUGGUGCGCUUCAACGGCAGCACCGAGGCGCUGGACAAGCUGGACGCCGACGCCGUGUCGCCGACGGUCAGUCAGCUCAGCGCCGUCUUUGAGAAGGCCGACUCGAGGACCGGCCUCCACCGCGCGCCGGGGCUGCCCAGGGCCGCGGCCGCCGGGGCGCCCCAGGUCAACUCGAAGCUGGUCAGCAAGCGGUCCCGGGUGUUUCAGCCGCCCCCGCCGCCGCCCGCCCCGUCGGGGGAUGCCCCAGCCGAGAAGGAGCGCGGCCCCGGAGGGCAGCAGCCCCCGCAGCACCGAGUGGCCCCCGCGCGGCCGCCCCCCAAGCCUCGGGAGGUGCGCAAGAUAAAGCCGGUGGAGGUGGAGGAGAGCGGGGAGUCGGAGGCCGAGGCGGCGCCCGCGGAGGUGAUCCAGGCGGAGGUGACGGUCCAUGCGGCCCUGGAGAAUGGCAGCGCCUUGGCAACCACCGCCAGCCCCGCGCCCGAGGAGCAGAAGGCCCAGGCGGCCCCCGAGGAGGAGGCGGCGACCGUGGCGGCGCCUGAGAGAGGGGUGGGCAAUGGCCGGGCCCCGGACGUGGCCCCCGAGGAGGUGGACGAGUCCAAGAAGGAGGAUUUCUCGGAGGCGGACUUGGUGGACGUGAGCGCCUACAGUGGGCUGGGGGAGGACUCUGGGGGCAGUGCCCUGGAGGAGGACGACGACGAAGAUGAGGAGGAGGGUGAGCCCCCCUACGAGCCCGAGUCGGGGUGUGUGGAGAUCCCGGGGCUUUCGGAAGAAGAGGACCCGGCCCCGAGCCGGAAGAUCCAUUUCAGCACGGCGCCCAUCCAAGUGUUCAGCACCUACUCCAACGAGGACUAUGAUCGCCGCAACGAGGACGUGGAUCCCAUGGCAGCCUCUGCUGAGUACGAGCUGGAGAAGCGGGUGGAGAGGUUGGAGCUGUUCCCUGUGGAGCUGGAGAAGGAUUCCGAGGGCCUGGGCAUCAGCAUCAUUGGCAUGGGGGCCGGGGCAGACAUGGGCCUGGAGAAGCUGGGCAUCUUUGUUAAGACUGUGACUGAAGGCGGUGCGGCCCAUCGGGACGGCAGGAUCCAGGUGAAUGAUCUCCUGGUGGAAGUGGAUGGAACAAGUCUGGUGGGAGUGACCCAGAGCUUUGCAGCCUCCGUGCUCCGGAACACCAAGGGCCGUGUGCGAUUUAUGAUUGGCCGGGAGCGGCCGGGUGAGCAGAGUGAGGUGGCCCAGCUAAUUCAGCAGACCCUGGAACAGGAGCGAUGGCAGCGGGAGAUGGAGCAGAGAUACGCCCAGUACGGGGAGGAUGACGAGGAGACAGGAGAAUACGCCACUGACGAGGAUGAGGAGCUGAGCCCCACGUUUCCAGGUGGCGAGAUGGCCAUCGAGGUGUUCGAGCUGGCAGAGAACGAGGAUGCCUUGUCCCCUGUGGACAUGGAGCCUGAGAAGCUGGUGCACAAGUUCAAGGAGCUCCAGAUCAAGCAUGCCGUGACCGAGGCGGAGAUCCAGCAGCUGAAAAGAAAGGGGUGUUUCUUCCUCUCAGCUGCAGAGCCUGGAGCAGGAGAAGGGGAGGUGGCGGCUGGAGAAGGCCCAGCUGGAGCAGAGUGUGGAGGAGAACAAGGAGCGCAUGGAAAAACUGGAGGGCUACUGGGGCGAGGCCCAGAGCUUGUGCCAGGCUGUGGACGAGCACCUGCGGGAGACCCAGGCCCAGUACCAGGCGCUGGAGCGCAAGUACAGCAAGGCCAAGCGCCUCAUCAAGGACUACCAGCAGAAGGAGAUUGAGUUCCUGAAAAAGGAGACGGCACAGCGCCGGGUUCUAGAGGAGUCAGAGCUGGCGAGGAAGGAAGAGAUGGACAAGCUCCUGGACAAGAUCUCGGAACUGGAAGGAAACCUGCAAACACUGAGGAAUUCCAAUUCUACUUAACAGGAAUCAUUCCUUGACCGGACAAUAACUAAUCCCCUCCCAUUGUCCUCCUCCCUCCCCUGUCCUCAAUACUUCACCCCGCCCCCUACCAGCCUGGGGACAGGUGCCCCGACUCCCCCACCCCUCCACCCCACCUCCCCCAGCUUCAGGGACCAGAGGGCCCAUAUUACAGGCCCCCUUAAGGUGGCCCCGGGCAGACAGGUGGCUGGAAGGAUGGCCUCCUUCUAGCCUGUGGGGCUGAGGCACAGAGGCCAUGGGAUGCCAAGGGCUGGCCUGGGUGGUGGAUGGACACGAGGACCUGCAGACCAAACUGCCAGACGUUACAGCCUCCAGCCUUUGUCUCUGGACUGGAAAGGGGCCGGGGGCUCUCCCAGCACCUCACCACCUGGAGGCUGCUCCCUGCUCACGGGGCUCCUAGGCGGCCCCUGGGCCUCUUGACUUGAGUCUACCUUCCUGUCCCUUCCCCGCUCCCCCGUCAUCGUGCUGUUCUGUUGCAUCCUGACCCUCCUGCUGGGAGGGGUUGCCUCUACACCUCUCCUGCCAUCCUUGUCUGCCCUCCCAGGAUGGGUAGAGUCUACCCAGAGCCUGGAGGCUGGGCCUGGCCCUGCACUGAUUUCUCACGUAUCCUUCGUGAAAAGGGGAGAGUCCGGGACACCUGAUGUCCAGCUCCCCCUUUUCUUGGGGCAGCAGCCCUCAGUUUCUCCUUGUGCCUCCCCUGCCCCCCAGGUGCCAAAUAGCCAUAACCUCUUCCUGGAACUGUUCUGCGGCCUCUUUGGGGACCAGGUUUCCUGGCCAACCCUGGGAAUGAGCUGGAGGAGAGGAGGUCAGCUUAGGGGGCCUGGUUUUAGGUGAGGGGAACAUUUGUCACUGGAGAGCCAGGCCCUGUCCUGCCCUACGCAGGGCCACACCUGGAAGCCUUGUACUAACAUGGCAGAGAUUCAGCCUCACCCCACCCACACCCACAGUUUUCCAAUGUUUUGACUGGAGGGCAAAAUUUUACUACUUUUCAUCUUUUUGGAGACCAGGGCUGCCCUGCUGGCAGCCUGCUUUCUAAGUGAAAUCAACUCCGUUUCCCCACUUUAACCCCAAAUUGGGGCUUGGACCAAGGGAGGUGAGACCCUCACCCCAGGUCCCCUCCCCUUUCAGAUUACAUCUCUCAUUUUGCCUCUUCCUCAUGCCCCUGCCUCGGCCUGGGUUUUUGUUCUUUUUUUAAAAAACGACGCUUGUUCCAUCCAUUUUGGCUUUUCCUCGUCCCCUGUAAAUAGACCAUGCCAUCGAUCAGUAUUUCUCAGCACCCACUUCCUGCCCCCAGACGUGCGCCUACCCCCGAAGGAGCUGGCUGUCUCAGUGCCUGGGCCCAUGCACUUCACCUCCUCGGCCUCAGCAGAUGGAGGGGGCGGGGCUGUGGGGGGGUGCUUCUGGUUUCUCCGGCCGGGGCCACCUCUGUCCCGCCUUCCACAGGACUGCGUCUCUGUAUAUAAUAUAUAUAUGUAUGUAUUGUUCCCGGUUUUGUACGGACCAUGCCCUCUGUCAGGUCGUCCCCAUAAACGCAGCCCCCAGA
Delphinapterus leucas (beluga whale) is the source of this 4536-nucleotide RNA transcript. It is a transcript of the gene named protein phosphatase 1 regulatory subunit 9B, with no coding region annotated. NCBI's taxonomy places the organism in Eukaryota, Metazoa, Chordata, Mammalia, Artiodactyla, Monodontidae. The record is from RefSeq and is a predicted model, not a curated record.